This 252-nucleotide ribosomal RNA is filed under the name uncultured bacterium. RNAcentral's name for it is "partial 16S ribosomal RNA". It matches the Rfam family "Bacterial small subunit ribosomal RNA", at positions 524 to 776 of the family's 1533-position model. The record is from RNAcentral.
UACGAAGGGGGCUAGCGUUGUUCGGAAUCACUGGGCGUAAGGGCGCGUAGGCGGCUUUAUAAGUCGGGGGUGAAAGCCUGUGGCUCAACCACAGAAUUGCCUUCGAUACUGUAGAGCUUGAGACCGGAAGAGGUAAGUGGAACUGCGAGUGUAGAGGUGAAAUUCGUAGAUAUUCGCAAGAACACCAGUGGCGAAGGCGGCUUACUGGUCCGGUUCUGACGCUGAGGCGCGAAAGCGUGGGGAGCAAACAGG